Ictalurus furcatus (blue catfish) is the source of this 938-nucleotide long non-coding RNA. RefSeq lists it as uncharacterized. NCBI's taxonomy places the organism in Eukaryota, Metazoa, Chordata, Actinopteri, Siluriformes, Ictaluridae. The record is from RefSeq and is a predicted model, not a curated record. The transcript is spliced from 3 exons.
AUUCCAUAACUAUCUAAUACCGACGGAAUUCUCACGACGUGUUCCAACAUCGAAGAUCUUCAAGCUGGUAAAACACCUCCGAAAUUCACCUGUCACAUAACCGCCACCUCGUACAAGCCCCUCCCUCUUCACAAACUCCUCCCUCUUCACAAACCCCAACUAUUAUUUCCCUCAAACUGAGUGACGUUUGGAGAAGGGAAGUGUGUGUGAAGACUCUCGGAUAAAAACACACUGAUGAACCCUAACCCUUAACCCUACAAUGUAUGAACCAAAAAAUGCUCCUUGGAUGAGUUUAUAGUCAAAUGGCAGGGGAUAUCUGGAAACGCACCAACAACUUAACGUCUACAUAAGACAAGAUAAGAAUACUCUGAACGAUGCUGGUCUUUGAGUUUGUGAUCUCUUCGCCCAUGGCUCUUCUUGUUGGUUGUGUGACUGGGGGAGAGAGAGAGAGAGAGAGAGAGAGAGAGAGAGAGAGAGAGAGCGAGCGAGCGCGCGCUGGCGUUCAGGGGAACAUGAAAAUAAUAAAUAAACCUGCGCCAGGAAUGCAAACUCGGAGAGCUGACAGUGCUACAAGAAAUAUGGAGAAAUACUCACAGAAAACACGUCUACAUCCGCGGCAGCCAUGAUCAGGAAUGUGUAGAGAAGGUGUUAUACCGGAGAUGGGCGUAAAGGAAGUCUCUCUCUCUCUUUCUCUCUCUUUCUCUCUCUCUCUAUCUGACACUGUCACUACCCGAGCACCACCGCGCAUGCGUACUGCGCACUAACGCCUAGGAUAUAUUGCGCAUGCGCUCCAGGAACCAGACGCUCAACCCCAGUAACAUGACUACUUCCUGUCUUCAUGGGAACUUCCUGUAUGUUUAUAUUGACUUUUAUUUCAAGGCAAAGCUUUAAGGUUUACUUUAUAGUGACUUAAUAAACAGUUUGUAUAUAUGUAUGUA